GGUGGCGAUCAUACCAGCACUAAUGCACUGGAUCCCAUCAGAACUCCGCAGUUAAGCGUGCUUGGGCGAGAGUAGUACUAGGAUGGGUGACCCCCUGGGAAGUCCUCGUGUUGCAACCC
Molecule: ribosomal RNA, 119 nt
Filed under: Helianthus annuus (common sunflower)
Lineage: Eukaryota; Viridiplantae; Streptophyta; Magnoliopsida; Asterales; Asteraceae
Source: RNAcentral